CACGUAGGGCGCAAGCGUUGUCCGGAAUUAUUGGGCGUAAAGAGCUCGUAGGCGGUCUGUUGCGUCCGCUGUGAAAACUCGGGGCUUAACCCCGAGCCUGCAGUGGAUACGGGCAGACUAGAGGUAGGUAGGGGAGAAUGGAAUUCCCGGUGUAGCGGUGAAAUGCGCAGAUAUCAGGAGGAACACCGGUGGCGAAGGCGGAUCUCUGGGCCAUUACUGACGCUGAGGAGCGAAAGCGUGAGGAGCGAACAGG
Molecule: ribosomal RNA, 253 nt
Filed under: uncultured bacterium
Lineage: Bacteria
Description: partial 16S ribosomal RNA
Rfam family: Bacterial small subunit ribosomal RNA
Source: RNAcentral